GCAGUCCUCGAGAUCAGCGGACGUUAAUAAAUCAUGCACGCUCUACAAGAACAGGUUCCCGCCUGGAAAUCUGUAUUUUGUUGGUUUCAAAAGCAAUCCCCGCAUGUGUUGAAAACAGCAAUGACGGAACGAAGCUAGGAAGUGCCUGGACAUGGUCCGCUGAGGGAAUUCAACAUCAAUGCAGCUCUCGGAUAUUCAAAACUACAAAAUAGAACCGGACAUCAGGCAAGGCAUUCAAGGCAUUGAGAGACGUCUUGCGUUUAAAUGCUAGAAAAAGAAAUAUAGGCCAGCCGUUGAAGAGAGAGUUGUGCAGCUUAUAAUAAUGGUCAAAUUCCUGGCCAAUUUGUGCAGAUAGGCAGUUUCCCUUAGAUUCAAAGUUUGACAAUAGAACUUCGAAAAUGAUUCUUGGUUGGCGCAAAAGACUGUACUUUAUCGAAUGAUGAAAGUGUUUGUGGACUUGCAUACAUGUAUUUAUAUGUUUGACGUUAUAUUAAUAAAGUUC
Long non-coding RNA from Magallana angulata, 502 nucleotides. RefSeq lists it as uncharacterized. The transcript is spliced from 3 exons. NCBI's taxonomy places the organism in Eukaryota, Metazoa, Mollusca, Bivalvia, Ostreida, Ostreidae. The record is from RefSeq and is a predicted model, not a curated record.